Non-coding RNA from Arachis ipaensis, 1927 nucleotides. Lineage: Eukaryota; Viridiplantae; Streptophyta; Magnoliopsida; Fabales; Fabaceae. The record is from RefSeq and is a predicted model, not a curated record.
UGUGCCAGGAUGUGGGUUAUUUCCACUAUGGGCCAUGUGGUUAUGGGACCAUGUAAAGUGUUAGUAGGCCUUGAUGUAACAGCUGGUCUUAUUACUAUGUGAUCCAAUCUGGAUAUGCCACAGUUUCGAGUGUAAUCUGCUGCGAUGGUCGAGUGGCGACAGCCAUGGAUAGAAGAAGGUUUGUUGGGUCGUGUUACCUGCGACAGGGUUAUGCGAUGGAGAUUGGGUCAGGUUGGACGGCCCAAGAACAAAAAAAAACAAAAUAGGUCAUUCUAGAAGGUUUUAGCCACUGAUAACAAAUAUUUCAAACCCUAUCGCCAAUCCAACACAAGCACGAGGAACUCCCGAACAUAUAGGGAUCUCAGAUGGGAAGCAUCCACUCCAUGUUUUGUAUCAUAGCAAUGUUCCGGUUUGGCCUCGUUGACGGUGGGCUAGGGAUGUGAAUACAGACGGAUCCGAAACACCUUCGGAUUAGGUGGAUGGAUUCGUCAGUAUCGAUGACGGCGAUAACCGUUUGGGUCUUAACGGACUCGGGACCACUGAAGGUGGCAGAAACCCACAUCGGAAUUUAUCUACUGUUGUUGGAGUGUAUCGGAUGACAGAUGCAGAUGGAUCGGGCAAAGAAAGUGCAGUUUGUAUGUAUGACUUGCCCACGUGAGUGUCCAUGAACUCUGUGUGUGUGUCAUAUUUUAAUUUUGUAAUCAGUUGUUAAUUGUAGUAGAGUUAGUCACCAAUUACUAAACAAGUGAAUUUGCACUGUUAAACAAUUUGAUACACAAGUAAUUGGUUUAGGGUUUUUACUUGUUAAGUUGAUAAGUUCCAUUGUUUCAUCUCCUGUUAACAAGUUUCUGGCUUUUCUAUAAGCAUUUAUUCCCGCAAUGGGAGAUAAAAUUUGUUGCUCGAAUGCUGAUAUUGAAUGUUUUAUGAAAUGAUGGUAGUGAUUUUUGAUCGGCUAAAUCAUUCAAUGUUUACAAAGUUUAUAAAGAAAAGUGGCGAAAUUUGCGAGGAACUUUGUGUUUUACAUGUAUGUUCAUGAUCCGACGUGACGAUAAUUUUGAAUGCUCUUGAAUGUCUUCAUCAAACCUAGUCAACGAAUAUUUCUGGCAGAAGACAACUAAAUGAUAGUUCAUGUUAUAAUUUUUGCUCAAUAGAGACCUACAUAUCACUAUCGAAAGUAUGAGCAUUUCACUUGAUGCAUGUAAAGCCCCUGGGUCUUUCUUAUUAACACAAUGGACUCCUGUUACGUGGUAUAUAUUUUAGCAUGAGUUACAUUUAUACAUAUAGAAGUUAAUCUACAGCAAAUAUGAAAUCUUACGGAACAUUUAUUUGGCAGUUAGUGAAGUGAUGGGGGGCAUAAAAAUCAUUAAGAAGUUGAAUCCAUUGAAGAAGUUGGCUUAUUCAGGCAUUGUGGGAAUUCUAAUUCUUUCUUAUGAAUGGUAUGUAACUUUGUUUUAGUAACUUCUUUUCUGUGUAAAAAGUGACUUCGGUUUUUGGUUUCCAAGUCCCUCAGAUGCUGCCAGAGCUCUCACCCUAUGGAAUAAUGCAAAGAGGCCGUUGAAAAACAGUAGCACCUCAAAACCUGUUGACCUAACUGCUUAUUCCGUCCUCUUCUUCGACAUCAUGAAUCGGUUCGUAAUAAUUAUUUGCGUUUCUUUAAUUUGCCUCUUGCUAACAAUUAAUUGCGCACGUGUCGCCGAACACAGUAAUAAGGAUCAGUUUUGGUAAAAUAAAGUUCAGAUGGGAAUUUGGUAUCAUGAAUAUCGUCGGACGUAUCAUCCGGGGAUGGAGUAAAAGUAGAAUGGAGCUAGAAUCACGUGGUACUAGCACGAUUUAACGAAGGUAGGUCCAGACUUCCCGAUUUAUUAGUGUCAAAGCGUUGUUAUUUCGUUUUUUUAAGUGUAACGAUGAAGAUAUGUUUAAAUUCAUU